Molecule: ribosomal RNA, 300 nt
Filed under: uncultured Pelagibacteraceae bacterium
Lineage: Bacteria; Pseudomonadati; Pseudomonadota; Alphaproteobacteria; Candidatus Pelagibacterales; Candidatus Pelagibacteraceae
Description: bacterial SSU rRNA
Rfam family: Bacterial small subunit ribosomal RNA
Source: RNAcentral
AUGUGGGUAUCUACCCUUUGGCCUGGAAUAACACGAGGAAACUUGUGCUAAUACCGGAUAAGUCUUUACGGAGAAAGCUUUAUGCACCAUUGGAUGAGCCUGCAUUUGAUUAGUUUGUUGGUGGGGUAAUGGCCUACCAAGACUGUGAUCAAUAGCUGAUUUGAGAGGAUGAUCAGCCACAUUGGGACUGAGACACGGCCCAAACUCCUACGGGAGGCAGCAGUGGGGAAUAUUGCACAAUGGGGGAAACCCUGAUGCAGCCAUGCCGCGUGUGUGAAGAAGGCCUUGGUUGUAAGCACU